GGUUGGUUAGUGUAAGGGCUAGCACGAGAGAUUCUGAUUCUCUAGAUCUGGGUUCGAAUCCCAGACCGACCU
Non-coding RNA from Xylariaceae sp. FL0662B, 72 nucleotides. The record is from the annotation of a GenBank genome assembly. Lineage: Eukaryota; Fungi; Ascomycota; Sordariomycetes; Xylariales; Xylariaceae.